UUCUUCUUGGGUCCAUUUGAGGAAGUAAAAGUCGUAACAAGGUUUCCGUAGGUGAACCUGCGGAAGGAUCAUUACCAAAAGAUAAUCUUUCAAAUCGAAAGAUCUUUUCCUUUGUGCUGGCUUUGACCGUAUGUAAUUUUGGGACUUAAACAUGGCAACUUUUUUGUUACCGGUCCCAAAAACAAUUAUAUCAUCCUUAUGAAAAACUUACUGAACAACUAAACAAUGAUUUUAAUAAUCUGUUUAAAACAACUUUCAACAACGGAUCUCUUGGUUCUCGCAUCGAUGAAGAACGCAGCGAAAUGCGAUACGUAAUGUGAAUUGCAGAAUUCAGUGAAUCAUCGAAUCUUUGAACGCACAUUGCACUCCUUGGUAUUCCGAGGAGUAUGCCUGUUUCAGUAUCAUGAGCACUCUCACACCUAACCUUUGGGUUUUGUUGUGGAAUUGGGAUGCGCCGAUUUUAAUAGUCGGCACUCCUAAAAUGUAUUUCUUGGCUGUUUCCUACUACAGCAGUUUGGCCUAAUAGUUUUGACUUUUGUCAAAUCUUUGGCUACAUUUGCUUCUGGAAAUCAGUCUUGAUAAUACAGAAAACUCAUUCAAACUUUGAUCUGAAAUCAGGUAGGGCUACCCGCUGAACUUAAGCAUAUCAUAACCCGGAAGGA
RNAcentral lists this ribosomal RNA (662 nucleotides) under Umbelopsis sp. OTU087 AN-2016. RNAcentral's name for it is "eukaryotic LSU rRNA". The stretch from base 251 to 404 matches the Rfam family "5.8S ribosomal RNA". The record is from RNAcentral. Lineage: Eukaryota; Fungi; Mucoromycota; Umbelopsidomycetes; Umbelopsidales; Umbelopsidaceae.